AUUGAACGCUGGCGGCAGGCUUAACACAUGCAAGUCGAGCGGAGCGAGGGUGCUUGCACCUUAGCUUAGCGGCGGACGGGUGAGUAAUGCUUAGGAAUCUGCCUAUUAGUGGGGGACAACAUUCCGAAAGGGAUGCUAAUACCGCAUACGCCCUACGGGGGAAAGCAGGGGAUCUUCGGACCUUGCGCUAAUAGAUGAGCCUAAGUCGGAUUAGCUAGUUGGUGGGGUAAAGGCCUACCAAGGCGACGAUCUGUAGCGGGUCUGAGAGGAUGCUCCGCCACACUGGGACUGAGACGCGGCGCAGACUCCUACGGGAGGCAGCAGUGGGGAAUAUUGGACAAUGGGCGGAAGCCUGAUCCAGCCAUGCCGCGUGUGUGAAGAAGGCCUUUUGGUUGUAAAGCACUUUAAGCGGGGAGGAGGCUACUAGUAUUAAUACUACUGGAUAGUGGACGUUACUCGCAGAAUAAGCACCGGCUAACUCUGUGCCAGCCGCCGCAGUAA
This 501-nucleotide ribosomal RNA is filed under the name uncultured bacterium. Its description in RNAcentral is "partial 16S ribosomal RNA". It matches the Rfam family "Bacterial small subunit ribosomal RNA", at positions 30 to 523 of the family's 1533-position model. The record is from RNAcentral.